ACGCAAUUAAAUUUUUAAGAAUAUAAACUGUAAAAAUUAUACAGGAAAUAAUAUUGCAUUGAUUGUUUGAGAUCUAUACCAACCAUAAUGCGGACGAUGUAAAAGGCGCGUGGUGAAAUUAAUAAUCUGUACAAUUAUUCUUAGCGUCAUUAUCGUCAUCAUCAUCGGCAUCCUCGAGCACCGAACUCGUCGUUACGGAUAAUGACGAAAAACGAAUUAAAACUAAAGGGAAAUUGAAGCGUGUCCGAUCUGACACCGGUACGAGAUGCG
RNAcentral lists this unclassified non-coding RNA (270 nucleotides) under Athalia rosae (coleseed sawfly). RNAcentral describes it as "misc RNA ENSAEAG00005006312.1". The record is from RNAcentral. Lineage: Eukaryota; Metazoa; Arthropoda; Insecta; Hymenoptera; Athaliidae.